CUCUUCAACCCAUUUUUUCAUAUUUUCUUUCUCUCUCUUCCUCCCGUUUUCUCUCUCUUUCUUCUUCUGCAGCAUCUCCGUUUCAUAUCUUCCUCUUCUUUGCGAAUUCACCUCUUUUAAUUCGCUAGGCACACAAACAAGUAUUCAAUCUGGACAUUGGUUAUGAUAUAUGCAUCUACUUUUUUCUGAUGACUCUAUUUUCACACAUUGGCUACGAAGUUUACAAUGAGAGCAGCUGAACGGAAAAAUGCUGCUCCACUAGUACUAGUAGAUGCAUAGUCAUCAUACUCACAGUGAUGCAGCAUUGUCAUCAUGCUCGGAUAAAGAUGAGAUGAAACAUUUGGGUGUGAUGCAGUUUAUUCUGCUGGUCAACUCCGAUAACUUCAGUCAGGGUUCGGGUUGGUUCUACUACAGUUAGUCCUCAACUGUAGGUGCUACUUGGGUUGCUGUUGAAACCAAACACUCUUUAUGCUGGAGAGGCAAGUUUGCAGGGUUGCUCAAGGCUAACUAGCUCUUGAUUUAAUUACUUUUAAAUUAAAAAUGUCAACUAGGGCCAGUGAUGAUGACUUCUCUUAUUGUUGUGUUUUGUCAACUAGGACCAGUAGUAUGUAUAUGUAUUAGAGCAAUCAUGCAUAUUAACUAUCUUUAAUUUUGAAUCAAAUUGAUGAUGAAACAUAUAACUAUUUUAGUUUA
Long non-coding RNA from Spinacia oleracea (spinach), 693 nucleotides. RefSeq lists it as uncharacterized. The record is from RefSeq and is a predicted model, not a curated record. The transcript has 2 exons. NCBI's taxonomy places the organism in Eukaryota, Viridiplantae, Streptophyta, Magnoliopsida, Caryophyllales, Amaranthaceae.